CACAAGCGGUGGAGCAUGUGGUUUAAUUCGAAGCUACGCGAAGAACCUUACCAGGUCUUGACAUCUUCUGCCAAUCUUAGAGAUAAGACGUUCCCUUCGGGGACAGAAUGACAGGUGGUGCAUGGUUGUCGUCAGCUCGUGUCGUGAGAUGUUGGGUUAAGUCCCGCAACGAGCGCAACCCUUAUUAUCAGUUGCCAGCAUUCAGUUGGGCACUCUGGUGAGACUGCCGGUGACAAACCGGAGGAAGGUGGGGAUGACGUCAAAUCAUCAUGCCCCUUAUGACCUGGGCUACACACGUGCUACAAUGGACGGUACAACGAGUCGCAAAGUCGCGAGGCUAAGCUAAUCUCUUAAAGCCGUUCUCAGUUCGGAUUGCAGGCUGCAACUCGCCUACAUGAAGUUGGAAUCGCUAGUAAUCGCGGAUCAGCAUGCCGCGGUGAAUACGUUCCCGGGCCUUGUACACGCCGCCCGUCACACCAUGAGAGUUUGUAACACCCAAAGCCGGUGAGGUAACCUUUUGGAGCCAGCCGUCUAAGGUGGGACAGAUGAUUAGGGUGAAGUCGUAACAAGGUAACC
RNAcentral lists this ribosomal RNA (576 nucleotides) under uncultured Lactobacillus sp. RNAcentral describes it as "bacterial SSU rRNA". It matches the Rfam family "Bacterial small subunit ribosomal RNA", at positions 924 to 1501 of the family's 1533-position model. Lineage: Bacteria; Bacillati; Bacillota; Bacilli; Lactobacillales; Lactobacillaceae. The record is from RNAcentral.